RNAcentral lists this ribosomal RNA (1805 nucleotides) under Hibiscus syriacus. RNAcentral describes it as "SSU rRNA". It matches the Rfam family "Eukaryotic small subunit ribosomal RNA". Lineage: Eukaryota; Viridiplantae; Streptophyta; Magnoliopsida; Malvales; Malvaceae. The record is from RNAcentral.
CCUGGUUGAUCCUACCAGUGGUCAUAUGCUUGUCUCAAAGAUUAAGCCAUGCAUGUGCAAUUAUGAACUAAUUCAGAUUGUGAAACUGCGAAUGGCUUAUUAAAUUAGUUAUAGUUUUGUUUUAUGGUAUUUGCUACUCAGAUAACCGUAGUAAUUCUAGAGCUAAUACAUGAAACAAACCAUGAAUUCUAUAAGGGAUACAUUUAUGAGAUAAAAGGUCUACGCGGGCUUUUCCCGUUGCUUUUAUGAUUCGUGAUAACUCGAUGGACCACAAGACUUUUAUGCCAGUGGCACAUCAUUCAAAUUUCUUCCCUAUAAACUUUCAAUGGUAGGAUAGUGGCCUACUAUGGUGGUGAUGGGUAACAAAGAAUUAGGGAUCGAUUUCAGAGAGGGAGCCUGAGAAAUGGCUACCACAUCCAAGGAAGGCAACAAUCACUCAAAUUACCCAAUCCUGACACAGGGAGGUAGUGACAAUAAAUAACAAUACCAGGCUCUAUGAGUUUGGAAAUUGGAAUGAGUACAAUAUAAAUCCCUUAAUGAGGAUCCAUUGGAGGGAAAGUUUGGUUCCAGUAGCCACGGUAAUUCUAACUCCAAUAGCAUAUAUUUAAGUUGUUAUAGUUAAAAAAACUCGUAGUUGGACCUAGGGGUGGGUCGGUCAGUCCGCCUCAUGGUGAGCACCAGUCUAUUCAUCCAUACUACUGGUGAUGUGCUCAUGGCCUUAAUUGGUCAGGUAAUUUCUCUAACACUGUUACUUCAAAAAAAUUAGAGUGCUCAAAGAAGGCCUAUGUUUUUAUACAUUAGCAUGGGAUAACUUCAUAGGAUUUCGAUCCUAUUGUGUUGGCCUUCGGGAUCAGAUUAAUGAUUAAAAAAUACAGUCGAGGGCAUUCAUAUUUCAUAGUCAGAGGUGAAAUUCUUGGAUUUAUGAAAGAUUAACAACUGUUAAAACAUUUUCUAAGGAUGUUUUCAUUAAUCAAGAAUUAAAGUUGGGGGAUCAAAGAUAAUCAGAUACCGUCAUAGUCUCAACCAUAAAUGAUACUGACCAGGGAUCGACAUAUAUUACUUUUAGGACUCAGUCGGUACCUUAUGAGAAAUCAAAGUCUUUGGGUUACAGGGAGAGUAUGGUCGCAAGGCUGAAACUUAAAGAAAUUGACGGAAGGAAACCACUAGGAGUGGACCCUACGGUUUAAUUUGACUCAACACGGGGAAACUUACCAGGUCCAGACAUAGUAUGGAUUGAUAGACUAAGAGAUCUUUCUUGAUUCUGUAGUUGGUGAUGCAUGGUCAUUCUUAGUUGGUGGAGUGAUUUGUCAGGUUAAUUUCGUUAACGAAUAGCCUACUAACUAACUACAAGUAGGUGAUCCUCUAUGGCUAGCUUCUUAGAGGGACUAUGGCCGCUUAGGCCAAGGAAGUUUUAGGCAAUAACAAGUCUGUGAUGCCCUUAGAUGUUCUAGGCCACAUAAGCGCUACACUGAUGUAUUCAACGAGUCUAUAUCCUAGGCUGACAGGCCCAGGCCCAGGUAAUCUUUAAAAUUUCAUCGUGAUAGGGAUAGAUUAUUGCAAUUAUUGGUCUUCAACGAGGAAUUUAUAGUAAGCUUGAGUUAUCAUCUCGUAUUGAAUACAUCAUUACCCUUUGUACACACCGCCCGUCGCUCCUACCGAUUGAAUGAUCUGGUGAAGUAUUCAGAUCACAGAGACAUGUGCAGUUCACUGCAGACCGCCCAUGUCACCGUGAGAAGUCCAUUGAACCUUAUCAUUUAGAGGAAGGAAAAGUCGUAAAAAGGUUUUCGUAGGUGAACCUGUGAAAG